CCUACGGGCGGCAGCAGUGGGGAAUAUUGGACAAUGGGCGAAAGCCUGAUCCAGCCAUGCCGCGUGUGUGAAGAAGGCCUUCGGGUUGUAAAGCACUUUCAGUGGGGAAGAAAGCCUUGGGGCUAAUACCCCCGAGGAAGGACAUCACCCACAGAAGAAGCACCGGCUAACUCCGUGCCAGCAGCCGCGGUAAUACGGAGGGUGCGAGCGUUAAUCGGAAUUACUGGGCGUAAAGCGCGCGUAGGCGGUCUGAUAAGCCGGUUGUGAAAGCCCCGGGCUCAACCUGGGAACGGCAUCCGGAACUGUCAGGCUAGAGUGCAGGAGAGGAAGGUAGAAUUCCCGGUGUAGCGGUGAAAUGCGUAGAGAUCGGGAGGAAUACCAGUGGCGAAGGCGGCCUUCUGGACUGACACUGAUGCUGAGGUGCGAAAGCGUGGGUAGCAAACAGGAUUAGAUACCCGGUAGUC
This 464-nucleotide ribosomal RNA is filed under the name Vreelandella stevensii. Its description in RNAcentral is "partial 16S ribosomal RNA". It matches the Rfam family "Bacterial small subunit ribosomal RNA", at positions 338 to 795 of the family's 1533-position model. The record is from RNAcentral. Lineage: Bacteria; Pseudomonadati; Pseudomonadota; Gammaproteobacteria; Oceanospirillales; Halomonadaceae.